UGAAAUACAAUAUAUCUGUGUGAGUGUGAAUAGCCUAAAGCUGACUCAUGAGUCUGGGCACUUGGAAACCGCCCUCACAUGGGGCACACUAGGGAGAUAACUGGUUAAUCAUCCAGUCCUUAACCAAUUAAACAGGGUGGCUCAGCUCACUAGCUGAGGACAGCUAAAAGACAGGAAAAGAGGUAGUCUGGGAAGGAAGGGUUGGAGAAGCCCAGGAUCACAGGGAGAUAAGAUCUCUCAGCCUGUCCCUAGGGAGAAGACUCCCGUGUACAAAUAUCACCACUCAAAAAUGGGAUCUGCCAUGGUCACUCAUAAAUCCAUUCUCCCUGCAGAUCUUGUCAAAGGAAACUCAGCCUGCCCAUUGCAGACCACAACCUUCCCCAAUUCCUUUUCUCCUAUUUUUUGCCAAAGAGCUGCUGACACUCUGCUAGAAGAAUACCCUACUUGAACUCCAUAGUGAGAUCUGGAAUGUACCAAAGUCUUUUGAAAAACCAUUAGUAAGCUCAUGCAAUAGCAUUCACCAACUGCGUUUCUUCUGUGAAGCAAACAAUAGAUUCAAUCCCCUUAUGUGUCCUCUUUUUAAGAUGGAAGAACUGUGGGGAAGAGACCAAAAAGAAUGUUUGUGAAGGACCUUUAUGCCGGUAGUGUGUGGCCUGCCUGUUAAUCAUGGUAGUAAUCCUGCAUUUCUCUUACACUUUUCAACCGGUUAGGACUAUUUCAUCUGUCAGAGAAAUGCAGCUAUUUCACCAAGGUCCCAAUUCAGCGAAGCACUUAAGCAUGUGCUUAACUUUAAGCAUGGGAGUGGCCCCAUUGAAGUCAAUUUGGCACUCAUGUACUUAAAUUUGAGCAGAAAGCCAGGAUUAAUGCUUUAAGAAUGUUGCAGGAUCUCCAAUGAUUACAUGGGUGCGGGACUUUGCAAUCUGCACCCAGUGUUAAUAUUGGAAUAGUCUUAAGAGAGAAUCUGAAGUGAACAGGGUGGAGGACAUGUGAAUUCACAUCCUGUUGCUAUAACUGUUCAAUUAGAGAACGUUUCCUUUGAGUUGAGUUACGUAUUGAAGAGUCUUCACCACAUAAGAAGGUAAUUUUACAUUACGCAUUCUAAAACUUCCAAAAAAUAAUACAGUUGCCAUUUGUUUA
Molecule: long non-coding RNA, 1137 nt
Organism: Dermochelys coriacea (leatherback sea turtle)
Lineage: Eukaryota; Metazoa; Chordata; Testudines; Dermochelyidae
Exons: 2
Source: RefSeq, a predicted model, not a curated record